RNA transcript from Vollenhovia emeryi, 2138 nucleotides. It is a transcript of the gene named tenascin-like, with no coding region annotated. NCBI's taxonomy places the organism in Eukaryota, Metazoa, Arthropoda, Insecta, Hymenoptera, Formicidae. The record is from RefSeq and is a predicted model, not a curated record. The transcript has 9 exons.
UCUAAUCGCAUUCUACUUAAUAUUUUAAAAAGGGAAAUUACUCAAAAAUCUGACAUGCUGGGAAAUUCUGCGGCCAGAUUCGUUUUCAGCAUAAAAAGAACUCUAUCAGAUUCACCUACUCUAGUGCUUUUUGUAAUUAACGAACCUAAAUUUUCGCGGGCAGUUUUGUGUUGUUUAUUAAAAAUUUUAGAAUCUAUUCAGAUCUCAUGAUUAUUCUCGAAAGGUGAGACAAAAAUUGACUGUGAAAAAUCGAUCUCUCCGUUCUAACGGUUCAUGUUGGAAUCUCAUAAUCUUUAAUAUGGAAUGCCUAACGAGAUUUCGUGACUCGGGCAAAAUUCCAGAUCGAUUCGUCGGAGACCAGUCGCAUGACGGUGAAUUCGUUGGUGCUUCGCCUUGAACGAACAAGGAAGUGAGCGAUAGACACAGGCGAUAUAGACCCGAUAGACAAUGUCGAGGGACCUGACGGUAAUCGCGCGGGAUACGCCUUGAUGAUGUUCAUCCGAGGAUGUAUUCCUAUCUACGAUUGCGCAACGAUUGAACGGACGGCGAAACAAUGCGUGCGUCGUCGUGAGCUAAACGGAAAGGGACGACUGUCGGGAUCGUGACGCGGUGGCCUUGGAGCAAUCCCGAUCGGAUGACCCCGUCUCCUCUCGCGGAACCGGCGGGAUCCGAAAAUGACAAUAAGUCGGCGAUGAUGAUGAUGGUGAAACGUUCCGUACGCGGCGUCCGUCCGCCGUCGCUGCGAGGAUGACGAGGACGUGGACGGUAUGCGGCUUCACGCGGCUUCUCGUCCUCGUACCCGUUACCGUCUGCGCGACGAUCACCUACGUCAACGGCAACGAGGACUCGUCCCCGCGAUGCAACGAUCGCGGUUACGCUAAUCGCAGCAAUAAAACCUUCUCCCAGUGUAAAUACGACGUCGACUGUAUUCCGAACGCGUUUUGCCGGAACCAGCAGACCUGCUCGUGCAAAGAUGAUCACAUCGAGUUUAGGAGUAAUAAUAACUACAAAUGUUUAAGAGUGGCUGCUCGCAUCGGCGAUCCCUGCGAGGAGGACAUCCAGUGUGCGUUUACGUUUACACCGCAAUCGGAAUGUCGAGGAGGCACUUGUCAAUGCGCCCACGAUUCCCACUUCACGGACGGGAGGUGCUACGAGUCCGUCGGUUUGGGAAAACGCUGCCGCUCGAAUCGCAAUUGUCAUAUCAAGAACACUUUUUGCGAAUACGGUUUUUGUACCUGCGGUUUGCGUCAUCAUGCGAAUCCUGACAACACUAGCUGUCUGCCAAGCGCCAAAUUGAGCGAACACUGCAACAACGAUGACGAAUGCAUCGUGGAACAUUCCAAGUGUAUGCACAACAAAUGCGACUGUAAAGUGGAUUACGUGCUAGCCAAAGGCGAUCAGCGGUGCUUGAAAGCCGCUUCCUGGGUCGGCGAGAAGUGCGAACAGCAGUCCCAGUGCCAACUGUUCCUGAAGCAUAGCCAAUGCGGCACGAACAAGACGUGCGAAUGCGUCGUCGGUUCCCACAAACGUGGCCAUCGAUGCUUCGUCGAUGUAGAACUAGGAGGCCGUUGCGAAACUCACCACCACUGUAUCACGACAACUUUGAGGGAAUCCAAUUCGACUUGGAAAUCGAAAGUGGACUGUAUUGAUGGUUUCUGCACCUGUACAGAAGGCUAUACGUUGAUGGAGCAACUGCAGGAUUGUGUUCAGUUCAGUGAUAAUGGCGCAACGAGAUGGCAAGUACAUAGAAUACUUCCUCUUGCCGUUAUCGCAAGAUACCUUAUGCGAUAAAGAUGGCGGGUAACAAUCCGUAUUCUACAGCAUGAAAACUUGUCGAUUUAUUAAUUUAAAACUAAAAAAGACAGUAUCGAAUCUACUAAAUUAUUAAGAACACUAGUUUCUUUUCUUACUUCUAUUUACUACAGUCAGUUAUUGACUAGGACACACUAGAAUUGAGCAAAGGGUCAAUCUGCACACGCGUAAAGCUUCGUAAUAAUUACACACAACUGUGUUCUAUUUCUAUAACAAUAAUAUAAUACUUUGCUAAGUUCAGUAAACACUGUUUGCUGUUAUCUCAAUAAAAUUAUAUAGAUGAUUAUCUAGAUAAAAUUUUAGCGUUAUCUUAUCUUUAUAUGUAU